This 148-nucleotide non-coding RNA is filed under the name Pan troglodytes (chimpanzee). Lineage: Eukaryota; Metazoa; Chordata; Mammalia; Primates; Hominidae. The record is from Rfam by way of RNAcentral.
GCCGGGCGUGGUGGCGGGCGCCUGUAAUCCCAGCUACUCAGGAGGCUGAGGCAGAAGAAUGGCUUGAACCCAGGAGGCGGAGGUUGCAGUGAGCCGAGAUCGCGCCAUUGCACUCCAGCCUGGGUGACAGAGUGAGACUUUGUCUCAA